Molecule: long non-coding RNA, 839 nt
Organism: Helianthus annuus (common sunflower)
Lineage: Eukaryota; Viridiplantae; Streptophyta; Magnoliopsida; Asterales; Asteraceae
Exons: 3
Source: RefSeq, a predicted model, not a curated record
CAUAUCUGGGCGUGGAACGAUCGAACAGAGAGGAGAAAGAAAGGGGUGAAACCCUAAUUCAUGAGCAGACCUUCAAAUUGAAAAGGGAAUUGAAGCCUAGUUGAAUGCAUGAACUAAGAAUGAUGAUCCUCUAAGCAUACCCAACAUCAAGAACGUGUCAAGGAGAGCUCAAGCAUAGGAGGAUAACGGGUCAAGAUAAGGCAAGGUGACAAAUACACUUAUUGGAGUACUCAAGGGUAAGCGCAAUUGUUGGAAGAGAUGAUCCGUGAAUGCGGUCUAGGACCGGCAUCGAGGCAAGUAAUGAAACGAAUUGACCCCAGGUAUGUAAACCUAAUGUAUGGGCGUAUGAAAUGGUAUGGCUAAGUAAGUGAAAGAAAAAUUUUGAACAAAUUAUGAUAACGACAUGGUAAAUAAGUUUUGAAAAUGUUACACGAGCCGAAACUAAAUUCUUCGGACAUAAGGUGGCGAUUACGCGAAGACACGAAACUAGUACGUGGAAUGUGUACCUGGCCAGUACACAAGAAACGUAUGACGUUCGUGAGACCGUGAUAAUUAUUACAGGUAUGUCCGAUAGAGUUUGGUAGCAGCUAGGCGUGUGGGUGAAAUGGGUAGUAAGACUCUCGGGGGAUUGAGAGUACUUUGUAGGAAUGAAAGAUGUGAAUGCAAUGCUUGAAUCCGCGAGACAGAUUCACGAAAUGAAAUAUGCGAAUGUAAUGCUUGAAUCCGCGAGACGGAUUCAAGGAAUGAAAUAUGCGAAUGCAAUGCUUGAAUCCGCGAGACAGAUUCAAGGAAUGAAAUAUGCGAAUGCAAUGCUUGAAUCCACGAGACGGAUUCAAGGA